Poecile atricapillus (Black-capped chickadee) is the source of this 677-nucleotide long non-coding RNA. RefSeq lists it as uncharacterized. NCBI's taxonomy places the organism in Eukaryota, Metazoa, Chordata, Aves, Passeriformes, Paridae. The record is from RefSeq and is a predicted model, not a curated record. The transcript has 4 exons.
CGGCACCGCCGGGCUCUCAGGCAGCUGCGGUGAGGAGCCCGCGGUGAGCACUGCCCCGGUGCCUUCAGCACCGCUGAGCUGAUGUUUGGCUGGGCAUCGUGCCUGCACCAUCCUAUGCAGGAGACACAGUUUCCACAUCAAUGCAAUGGAAGCUGCUGAGGAGGAACCACCUCAGUCUGAUCUUUGUAAACUGCUGGUCCUCAGCCUUCAUAGACAGUUCUGGCAGUGCACUUGAACAAGGCUGCAAAGAUAAUUAAUGUGAGCAGAAGCAGCAGAGCUGGGAACAGUGAGCAGAUGUCCUGAGCUGGCCCGAGGAAGCCCAGGCAGCCACACCAAUACAACCACCAGCACACAGGGUCUCUUUGUUGUCUUGAGCUCUCAGGGUGGCUGCCUAACACCUGCAGCACUCCCACAUCCCUGUGUAAAUUGCCUGCAUCCCUCGAUGACAAAUGAGAGGCCAUUGCCAGCAACAAGGUAACCUGGCAUUCCCUCCGAGCUGCCUUCUGCUUCCCAGCCAGCUCCAGGUGAGUGGGUGAGCUCAGGGCUGGCAUGUGCCCAGCUGGCUCUGGAACCUGGGGUCAAUUGAGCCUUUCAGGAUCCCGCUGCUCCUGCCCCUGCAAUCACAGCCACAAGCUCUGGCUCUUCCAGUGCCUGGGAAGCAGCUGAAUAAUGCUGGG